AGCUUUGUACAGUGGCAGUAUCGUAGCCAAGGAGGUUUAUCCGAGGUGCGAUUCUUGCUAAUUGGAAACAAAGUGCAAGUCACAGCUGCUUCUGUCACCACAGGCACGAGGCACAUGCACACCUCCUUGACAAUGG
RNAcentral lists this small nuclear RNA (136 nucleotides) under Fukomys damarensis (Damara mole-rat). RNAcentral describes it as "U4 spliceosomal RNA". It matches the Rfam family "U4 spliceosomal RNA". Rfam says of the family: U4 small nuclear RNA (U4 snRNA) is a component of the major U2-dependent spliceosome. Lineage: Eukaryota; Metazoa; Chordata; Mammalia; Rodentia; Bathyergidae. The record is from Rfam by way of RNAcentral.